AUGGACGGGGCGGAGAAGGGGGAGAUCUGCGAGAGGAACACCAAGCCGAGGCUGGACGACCAUCCGCAGGUGACGGCGGCGGGGGCAGCCAGUCUGUUCAACGUCGACCUCAUCCUGGAGAUCCUCUCCCGCCUCCUAGCCAGAUCCGUCCAUCGCUUCAAGUGCGUAUCAGUGCUCUGGCGCGACCUCAUCGCCGACCCCGCCAACCACAAGAAGCUGCCCCAGACCCUUGCCGGCUUCCUCUACACGUCCUUCUACAACAGCAGGUAUCGCCACCACUUCGCCGGUUUCUCCGGCGGCGCAGCCUCCUUCAACCCUUCCCUCCCUUACAUACAUCCUAACAAGGAUGAGGGCAUCACCCUGGUGGACGCUUGCAAUGGCCUCCUUCUCUACCGCCGUUACAACAGUAGCAGUCAUGAUUACCAUUUUGUUGUGUGCAAUCCGGCCACCGGGAGGUGGGUGGAGCUGCCACCUCAACCUCAAACGCAGGAGACAAUGAACAGACUUAACCAUACCGCAGGCCUGGCUUUCGAUCCAGCAGUCUCGUCCCAUUUCCAUGUUCUUUGUUUCGAGCGGACCUUUCCGAAAACUUUGAUCACAUGAGUGAACAUCUACUCGUCUCGCACAGGAGCCUGGAUUCAUAGAGACAGCGGGAUAGUUGAGAAAGCUACCCUGUUCAGGAGUAAAUGUGUCUUUGUUGGCGGUAUGAUGUACAUCAUGGGUAACCUGGAGGACAUCAAUGACGAGUAUGUGCUGGUGGGGGUGGACAUGGAGGGGAAAGUGUGGAAGACUAUCCGUGUGCCGUAUGGUUCAAAAUUUGGUACUAUUGGAUUGUCGCAGGGGUGCUUACACUAUGCUAUAGCUCCUCCCAAUAAUAGCAAUGAAAUCCUAGUUUCCGAGAUAGCACUCUGGUGCCUCAAGGAUUGUGACAGUAAACAAUGGGUCCUAAAGCAUACUGCCAGCAUAGAUACACUUAUGAGCAUGACUUGGGAGAAGUACAGGGUGGUUGAGAUUCAUCCAGAUUGCGACACCAUUUUCCUGGCUCAGUGUGGAGGUGAUACCUUGGUAUCAUAUGACAUGUCGCAUCAGAAAGUUGGCUGUAUCAUUAAUCUUGAGAAAAACAGUGUACACAAAUUUCUACCCUAUGUUCCUCUGUUCUCAGAGCCAUUAGCUGAUGCUGAGGGGUAG
This 1188-nucleotide ribosomal RNA is filed under the name Triticum aestivum (bread wheat). RNAcentral's name for it is "partial small subunit ribosomal RNA". Lineage: Eukaryota; Viridiplantae; Streptophyta; Magnoliopsida; Poales; Poaceae. The record is from RNAcentral.